AGAGUUUGAUCCUGGCUCAGGAUGAACGCUGGCGGCGUGCUUAACACAUGCAAGUCGAACGAUGAUCCGGUGCUUGCAUCGGGGAUUAGUGGCGAACGGGUGAGUAACACGUGAGUAACCUGCCCUUAACUCUGGGAUAAGCCUGGGAAACUGGGUCUAAUACCGGAUAUGACUCCUCAUCGCAUGGUGGGGGGUGGAAAGCUUUUUUGUGGUUUUGGAUGGACUCGCGGCCUAUCAGCUUGUUGGUGAGGUAAUGGCUCACCAAGGCGACGACGGGUAGCCGGCCUGAGAGGGUGACCGGCCACACUGGGACUGAGACACGGCCCAGACUCCUACGGGAGGCAGCAGUGGGGAAUAUUGCACAAUGGGCGCAAGCCUGAUGCAGCGACGCCGCGUGAGGGAUGACGGCCUUCGGGUUGUAAACCUCUUUCAGUAGGGAAGAAGCGAAAGUGACGGUACCUGCAGAAGAAGCGCCGGCUAACUACGUGCCAGCAGCCGCGGUAAUACGUAGGGCGCAAGCGUUAUCCGGAAUUAUUGGGCGUAAAGAGCUCGUAGGCGGUUUGUCGCGUCUGCCGUGAAAGUCCGGGGCUCAACUCCCGGAUCUGCCGGUGGGUACGGGCAGACUAGAGUGAUGUAGGGGAGACUGGAAUUCCUGGUGUAGCGGUGAAAUGCGCAGAUAUCAGGAGGAGCACCGAUGGCGAAGGCAGGUCUCUGGGCAUUAACUGACGCUGAGGGGCGAAAGCAUGGGGAGCGAACAGGAUUAGAUACCCUGGUAGUCCAUGCCGUAAACGUUGGGCACU
Molecule: ribosomal RNA, 800 nt
Filed under: uncultured bacterium
Lineage: Bacteria
Description: bacterial SSU rRNA
Rfam family: Bacterial small subunit ribosomal RNA
Source: RNAcentral